GUUAAGUCAGGCACGAGCGAGACCCACGCCAACAGUUGCCAGCAUGUCCUCCGGGAUGAUGGGGACACUGUUGGGACCGCCUCUGCUAAAGAGGAGGAAGGAAUGGGCAACGGUAGGUCAGCAUGCCCCGAAUUAUCCGGGCUACACGCGGGCUACAAUGGUCAGGACAAUGGGUAUCGACACCGAGAGGUGGAGGCAAUCUCCUAAACCUGUCCUUAGUUCGGAUUGUGGGCUGCAACUCGCCCACAUGAAGCUGGAAUCCGUAGUAAUCGCGUUUCAAAAUAGCGCGGUGAAUAUGUCCCUGCUCCUU
RNAcentral lists this ribosomal RNA (310 nucleotides) under uncultured Methanolinea sp. RNAcentral describes it as "bacterial SSU rRNA". It matches the Rfam family "Archaeal small subunit ribosomal RNA", at positions 1028 to 1338 of the family's 1478-position model. Lineage: Archaea; Methanobacteriati; Methanobacteriota; Methanomicrobia; Methanomicrobiales; Methanoregulaceae. The record is from RNAcentral.